GGGCUGGCUAUAGCUCAGCGGUUCCUUCGACUGCAUUGUGAUUCAACUCACUCUCCCCAGAGUGGUUCGAGACCCGCGGGCGCUCUCCAGCCCUUUU
RNAcentral lists this vault RNA (97 nucleotides) under Balaenoptera musculus (blue whale). RNAcentral describes it as "Vault RNA (ENSBMSG00010001843.1)". It matches the Rfam family "Vault RNA". Rfam says of the family: This family of RNAs are found as part of the enigmatic vault ribonucleoprotein complex. The complex consists of a major vault protein (MVP), two minor vault proteins (VPARP and TEP1), and several small untranslated RNA molecules. Lineage: Eukaryota; Metazoa; Chordata; Mammalia; Artiodactyla; Balaenopteridae. The record is from Rfam by way of RNAcentral.